RNAcentral lists this long non-coding RNA (4062 nucleotides) under Zea mays. RNAcentral describes it as "long non-coding RNA (ZMAY_LNC001599)". Lineage: Eukaryota; Viridiplantae; Streptophyta; Magnoliopsida; Poales; Poaceae. The record is from RNAcentral.
ACGUCUAAAGUUCCUUCAAUUCACCCUUGCAAAAGAAUUAGAGUACUCAAUAAACAUCAUUGAAGAAGUAUUUGACAUGUUUUUUUGACAAAUAAAUAGAGACUAGAAGAAGGAAGCGCCCUACCAGGCGGAUGUACCAGCCACUUAUACACAGACCUUAAUUAAAUAUUUUCUCUAUAAAUAAUAGGAAAGUACUCUAUACCUUUGCACUUAAUUGGUGCCUACUGUCUUGCUUUACCAUCUCCAUAAGCACUGUUUGCAGUUCAUCAGCUCUGCAAAAACAAAAGCAAGCAAGGAAAAAGGUAAAACAACAAUUCAAUUAAAAAGAAAAUAUCCAACCUUCUUUCUGAGACCGUUACAUGUCUAGCCCUAUCUGGAGUUGACUGUCCAGUGGAGUGUCACCUGGUGCAUCAUAGUCAUCAAUUUAGACUUUAAAAUACAUAUUCUAUCAAUUUUGUUGUCACGAAACAAAUCAUAUUCCUUACAAAGCAUGCAUCUCAUAGAAUGCAAGAAAACAAAGAAUAGUAAAAAAUACAGAUGAGUACACCACCUAACUUUUUAAAUUAUAUUUCCUAUUAAGUGUCAAAAUUUCUAUCAAAAGUUACUCUAGAUUUACCUUUGAACAAUAGACACUGCAAAGAGCUUCAUGCAAAAGUCAACUCCCGUAUAAACAGAUCCUGAAAUGCAGGCCAAACAAUCAUGAUACAAUAGAUUUCAAACAUUCCAAUUCAUUUUCUAUCCUAAAAUAUGGAACAGUAGAGGCUAGUGCUGGAUGAAAUGAAAAGUAGAUAGAACAAUCAACAAAUAAUCUUCUACGAAGACCCAGAACUUCCAAGAGAUUCUUUUGCAUGUGCACUGGGAAGAACUCUGGUACUUCAUAACAAUGAAAAUAGGAUGUGGCAUUUUUAUGGGCAACCACAAUGUUCAACUAUCUAUAUAUUAUAUAGCGCAAAGCAUAAUAAGUAAAGUAACAGAAAAAUUCAGUGAUAAUUUAUUUCAAAAACAUUAAGAAACACUCGUUAAUGAAAUAUGUACCAGAACUUAAUAGUUUCGGAAAGGCCACAAAUAUGCAUAGAAAAUAGCAAAUGCUAUGUUCAUACAGUAGUGUUAUAGUCCCAAUUUUGCUGAAACAUGUUCCUUCCCUUUGCUCUGAAAUGAUGACAUCAGAUUCAUCGAUCUAACAAAACAAUGACCAAUGAUUUGUAUCAUAAGAAGAGUGCAAAGUAAAAUAAAAUAAUAAUUCAUUAGGGUCUGGCACAUAAAAGAAUAGUAAAUAAAAACCAAUAACAUGACAAUGAAAUUAACCAGGACACUUUUUUUCUUCAAUGGAGUGGGGGAGUUUUUUGGGUGGGGUAGGCAGGGGGAUGACAACAUGUGGUUGAGGUCUUGAUAGUAAAUGGCUACUCUAAUGCAAAUCAAGGAAGCAUAUGUUAGUCCCCAUGUCAUUGAGUCUGUAUUAAUCUAGUUGAACCAAUUAUGUGUGUGGGGCAUAGAUGUAGGUGUGCCCGGUGCUGUGCCUGAGCCCCUACCCGCUCUGGUGGUUGCCCCGACGUGGCGUCGCGCCGCGCAUGCCCACGGUCAAUAGAACGUGGGGCACGUCGUGCGUCAGGGGCAAAGGCUGCAAGCCUAUGUGACUCUGUGUUCAGUGUUUUAAUAACAUAUCUGCUAGAAUGGUAAUGGUGGGGUAUGAGCCAGGAUCAAAAGGGUACAGGAUGUAAGAUCCCUCUACUAACAAACUUGUGAUUAGCAGAGAUGUUAAGUUUGAAGAGGGAAUGGGAUGGAAUUGGGGAGAACUGGAGGAUAGUCAAAAUACUCAGUUGCCUGAUGAAAAUUCAGAAACUACAGUCUUUCAGUUUCAGUUUAAUGCUCCUGAUGAAGCAAUCCAAGACCCAAGUACAUCUGAUCAAGUUGGUGAGAAUUCAGGGGGGAAUCAUCUGCCACCUCCCUCACCACUGACUCCAUAGGUGCAGCAUUCAACAUCAGCUUCAGGUUCAGCUGGAAACAACCUUCAAAAUUCUGAUAACACUGAAAGUUCAGGCAUGGUUCAACUGAGAUACAGAAAUUUAUCAGACUUGUUUGAUGCUACAGAAGAGAUUCAUGACUUCGAAUACAGUCUGAUGUGUAUGCUUGCUGUUGAUGAAUCAGUGUCUGUUGAAAGUGCUUUAGUAGAUCCGAAUUGGUGAGUAGCUAUGAACUCAGAAUUACAAGCAAUAGAAGCUAACAAGACAUGGAGUUGGUCAGAACUGCCAAAUGGACAGAAAGCCAUAGGAAUGAAGUGGGUUUGUAAACUCAAGAAGAAUGCAGCAGGAGAAGUUGUAAAACAUAAGGCUAGACUUGUUGCAAUGGGAUAUUCCCAGAGAGAAGGGAUAGACUUUGAUGAAGUGUUUGCUCCAGUUGCCAGAUUGGAAACAGUAAGAGUCCUACUUGCUCUGGCAGCACAUGGUAAAUGGCAGAUUCAUCACAUGGAUGUAAAAACAGCUUUCUUGAACGGUGAUUUGAGAGAGGAAGUAUAUGUGUCCCAGCCACCAGGCUUCCAAGAUCUAGGGAAGGUUAAGAAGGUCCUGAAAUUACACAAGGCCCUAUAUGGUUUGAAACAGGCACCCAGGGCUUGGAAUACAAUAUUGGACAGUGAACUGAUCUCUUUGGGUUUUGAAAAAUGCAGUGUGGAACAUGCUGUUUACAGAAAGGGAGUUGGUGACUCCCUUUUGGUGGUGGGAGUAUAUGUUGAUGAUCUCAUAAUCUGUGGACCAUCAGUAGUAAAAAUAGAAGAAUUCAAGAGGCAGAUGAUGCACACUUUCAACAUGAGUGACCUUGGUUUGCUGAGUUACUACUUGGGCAUGGAAGUUACACAGAAGGAGGGUGAGAUAUUAAUCUGUCAAAGUUCAUAUGCAGCAAAGAUUCUUGAGCUGUGUCACAUGACUGGUUGCAACCCCACUGAUACUCCUAUGGAACAAAGAAUAAAACUCACUGCUGCUAAGAAAGGGACUGAAAAGGAUGUUACUAGAUACAGGAGUGUGAUUGGUAGUCUGAGAUACCUAGUGAACACAAGACCUGACUUAUCCUUUGCUGUUGGACUUGUGAGCAGGUUCAUGGAAGGUCCUAACAAAGAGCACUGGACAACAAUUAAAAGAAUUGUGAGGUAUAUAGCAGGAACACUGAACUAUGGGAUAAAACUCAAUAGAACGUGGGGCACGUCGUGCGUCGGGGGCAAAGGCUGCAAGCCUAUGUGACUCUGUGUUUAGUGUUUUAAUAGCAGAGUGUGGGGGCUCGCAUGUGUUGUGCGGUUGCCCAGAAACAAAAGUUCUCUCUGUUCUUGCGUUUACCUGAGAAGCAGCCACGCAGACCGCGCUCCUCCACCGCUGCAGCUCGUCGCGUUCAACGUCGAUCGCUGGCCGAGGACCAACAGCAUAACACUGCUAAUCAUAUGAAGUAUGCCAAUGUACACCAUUUACCAUGCGUAGCUUAUUUUAAAGCAAAAGGCUUCAAAUGUACAUGUAUACUAACAAAUUUAAUAAGUUGGCGCCAAUAUCUAGAGUAUGAAAUGAUAACAGAGAACUGCAAUAGCAUUCCUAAAAAAAUAAAGAGAAAGCUUUCAUAACAGAAAUUCAGUCUGAUCACAAUAAAUAACAUCCACGGCAUGCCACCAAGUCUGAUCACAAAACAGCAAAGGUCUCUUAAUUUACAAGGGGGGGCACUACUGGCUUGGCCGGACAAAAUUGAUGAAAGCAAGGCAUCGAAAUUGCAAAUUAUCUAUGUAAUUUCAGUAAGUUAUCGUACAGAUUUCUCCAAAUCAACACUAAUUCCCAUACUAAUCUUGUUUUUCGCUUCUCAUACCCACAACAUCUAAUUACACGAACAUGAAGCUAGAACAUCACAACAUAAUUGCCAAAAAAAACAAAGCAGCAUGGACAUGUUAACUAGAAUUUUACCUUGAACAGGCAUUUCAUCAAACACCUAAACUACAAGGGUCCUCACCUUAUUGGGGAAAGAGACCUGAGUCGUUGGGUGUGUAUAGGAGAUUGCAGACUGCCGCGGCCAGCAGUGUUGGAGAUUGGAGAAACC